Long non-coding RNA from Lonchura striata (white-rumped munia), 1857 nucleotides. NCBI's taxonomy places the organism in Eukaryota, Metazoa, Chordata, Aves, Passeriformes, Estrildidae. The record is from Ensembl.
CCAAUAUCUAUGUGAAGAACUGCAUCUACGACCUGUGUGCCAAUGAGGGGCAUCACACUGUGCUGUGCCAUACCUUCGAGAUCUAUGCUGAUAACUGCCAGGAGGAGGGAUCAAUGUUUCCAAUUGGAGGACAACAGUGGGAUGUCAUGAAUAGAGGAUGGUUGGGUGAAAAUACUCCUUGGGGUGGGCAGAGCCUAAUUAAUGUGGGACUAAAGAUCCAGGGACUCAUGGCUUGGGAAAGGUUACGGCAGCAGAUCCAAGCAGGAAAUCCUUGGAAAUCCAGGGAGAUUCUAGAAAGUCCAUGUAGAAAGUCCACAAAGUCCAUGGAGUCUCUAGAAAGUCUGAGCAGGAAACCCAGGAAGUCUGCAGAGACUCCAGAAAGUCCAGGCAGAGUGUCCAGGAAGUCCAUAGAGACUUCAAAAAAUCAAUGGAGACUCCUUAAAAUCCAUGGAGACUCCAGGGUAAUACAGAUAGUCAAAGAUGUCUGUCCCACUAUGUGCCGCCUCACCCUGACUGCUCUCUCCCUCCCUGUCCAGCUCUCACUUGCCUGCCCAACAGCACCCACAGCCUGCCUCCCUACCUGCAACAUCCCCACUGUGUCAUCCCGCUGUUCCACUGUCAACACCUGCGUGGACACCUGUGUGGCCUUGAUGCCAACACCUGCGCUGCCCCCUCUGAAUGUGGCUGUGUCCUUCAAGGUCUCUUCUAUGGCCUUGGCGAGGAAUUUUGGAGUGACCUCACUUGCACCCAGCACUCUGCGUGUGAUGCGGAGCGGCGGCAGGCAGUGUGCCAGGAUUCUGGUUGUACCACUAAGGAGGAAUGCGAGGUGGAGUAGGGGAUCUAGGAUUGUUAUCCCAAAAUUUCUGCGGUCUGCACCACUGUUGGAGCCACUCACUAUGAGACCUUUAAUCAAAGGAGGUGUAUCUUCCAGGGGAUGUGUGUCUUACCUGCUGGUUGGGUUGUGUGAGGACACCCAAAAUUUGGUGGGAUUCCAGGUGUUGGUGCAGAAUGGCCACCAAAGUGACAACCUCACAUUGUCCAUUGCCGUGGUGACAGUUAAAAGUCUACAACAAAACCAUCAGCAUCAGCAGGAACAUCGUGGAAAAAUCAUGACUAAUGAGAGUUGUUUGCGGCGGUUUGGCAGAAGCUGCUGAGGCCACCGCCUUCCCAAGAGUGUCUAAUCUAGGAAGGCAUAUCCCAGUGAGAACCAGAUGUGAGCACCACCCAGUUCACGUCACCAGAUGGUAUGUUGCAGGUCAGUGGAAAAAGCAGGCAGCAGGGGUUUUUUGUAUAGCGUUCCAGUGAUAGUUUAUCGCACCUACACACUGAAGAGUCCAGGGAUAAAGUACAAAGGAGGAUCCAGGGUUUUAUAUGGGACAAGGGAGGUAGAGCAUCAGGUCUGAGGGCCAAUGGGUAGAGGGACCAGAGGUGAUGCAAAGGUGGUGUUACAGGGGAAAAACCAACAGUGGAUUCAGGGGAGGAACAGUAAGGAAUGGGCACUAAAGGGAUAAAUGGGAAUGAGGAACAUUCUGGAACUGGGGAGUAUUGCCAGCUGGGGGACUGUGUACAAAUCACGAACGAGACGGGACUGCCGAGGAACGUGUCUCGAGCUGUUUAUUUUCCAGCAUCAGUCUCAUUACAUGGUUAUGACAAUGGGAAGAUGCCAGCAGCUCACAUCCCAGGCAGCAGACAAAGAACUUAAUGUUACAACUUAUUUUAAAAGCUUUUUGACCAAUCACACAAAGCAAAAGCAUAUUGACAGUAGUUCUAUCCAGCCACUAUAAGCACAAGUACCUUUGGUUAGAACAAUGCUCACUUAUUUAGAAUAAAAUACCUGCUUGUAAGCCUUAAGAUACA